RNAcentral lists this ribosomal RNA (478 nucleotides) under uncultured organism. RNAcentral's name for it is "partial 16S ribosomal RNA". It matches the Rfam family "Bacterial small subunit ribosomal RNA", at positions 330 to 799 of the family's 1533-position model. The record is from RNAcentral.
CGUACACUCCUACGGGAGGCAGCAGUGGGGAAUUUUGGACAAUGGGCGAAAGCCUGAUCCAGCCAUGCCGCGUGCAGGAUGAAGGCCUUCGGGUUGUAAACUGCUUUUGUACGGAACGAAACGGCCUUUUCUAAUAAAGAGGGCUAAUGACGGUACCGUAAGAAUAAGCACCGGCUAACUACGUGCCAGCAGCCGCGGUAAUACGUAGGGUGCAAGCGUUAAUCGGAAUUACUGGGCGUAAAGCGUGCGCAGGCGGUUAUGUAAGACAGUUGUGAAAUCCCCGGGCUCAACCUGGGAACUGCAUCUGUGACUGCAUAGCUAGAGUACGGUAGAGGGGGAUGGAAUUCCGCGUGUAGCAGUGAAAUGCGUAGAUAUGCGGAGGAACACCGAUGGCGAAGGCAAUCCCCUGGACCUGUACUGACGCUCAUGCACGAAAGCGUGGGGAGCAAACAGGAUUAGAUACCCUUGUAGUCCCAUG